GCGUCUGCCCGUGAAAAGUCCCGGGGCUCAACUCCGGAUCUGCGGUGGGUACGGGCAGACUAGAGUGAUGUAGGGGAGACUGGAAUUCCUGGUGUAGCGGUGAAAUGCGCAGAUAUCAGGAGGAACACCGAUGGCGAAGGCAGGUCUCUGGGCAUUAACUGACGCUGAGGAGCGAAAGCAUGGGGAGCGAACAGGAUUAGAUACCCUGGUAGUCCAUGCCGUAAACGUUGGGCACUAGGUGUGGGGGACAUUCCACGUUUUCCGCGCCGUAGCUAACGCAUUAAGUGCCCCGCCUGGGGAGUACGGCCGCAAGGCUAAAACUCAAAGGAAUUGACGGGGGCCCGCACAAGCGGCGGAGCAUGCGGAUUAAUUCGAUGCAACGCGAAGAACCUUACCAAGGCUUGACAUGAACCGGAAAUACCUGGAAACAGGUGCCCCGCUUGCGGUCGGUUUACAGGUGGUGCAUGGUUGUCGUCAGCUCGUGUCGUGAGAUGUUGGGUUAAGUCCCGCAACGAGCGCAACCCUCGUUCUAUGUUGCCAGCGCGUGAUGGCGGGGACUCAUAGGAGACUGCCGGGGUCAACUCGGAGGAAGGUGGGGACGACGUCAAAUCAUCAUGCCCCUUAUGUCUUGGGCUUCACGCAUGCUACAAUGGCCGGUACAAAGGGUUGCGAUACUGUGAGGUGGAGCUAAUCCCAAAAAGCCGGUCUCAGUUCGGAUUGGGGUCUGCAACUCGACCCCAUGAAGUCGGAGUCGCUAGUAAUCGCAGAUCAGCAACGCUGCGGUGAAUACGUUCCCGGGCCUUGUACACACCGCCCGUCAAGUCACGAAAGUUGGUAACACCCGAAGCCGGUGGCCUAACCCCUUGUGGGAGGGAGCUGUCGAAGGUGGGACUGGCGAUUGGGACAAGUCAAC
RNAcentral lists this ribosomal RNA (913 nucleotides) under Pseudarthrobacter sulfonivorans. RNAcentral describes it as "bacterial SSU rRNA". It matches the Rfam family "Bacterial small subunit ribosomal RNA", at positions 585 to 1490 of the family's 1533-position model. Lineage: Bacteria; Bacillati; Actinomycetota; Actinomycetes; Micrococcales; Micrococcaceae. The record is from RNAcentral.